Molecule: non-coding RNA, 275 nt
Organism: Pelobates cultripes (western spadefoot toad)
Lineage: Eukaryota; Metazoa; Chordata; Amphibia; Anura; Pelobatidae
Source: the annotation of a GenBank genome assembly
AGUGUACACUAUUGGCUGUUUCUGUUUAUCCGAGUGUUGAAUAUCCCACUCACGUUUAUAUCCCAUAAGCGGGGAUUAAACCGCUGUACGCCCUUCAUACUAGAGCGAGUCUAACGCUCUGAUAAAUGUGAGUUCUAUUUCAGCCUUUUAUUAUUUUUAUCUUUUUAUUCUGAAGCAUAUUGCACUAUUUGGUUCUCCACUUUUUUAUCUUCUACAUACGAGCAGAUCCAUACGGAGGAAAACAUAAAGCACUAUUGUUCUGGAUCAAGCACGGA